AGACCCGAAACCCGGUGAUCUAGCCAUGGGCAGGUUGAAGGUUGGGUAACACUAACUGGAGGACCGAACCGACUAAUGUUGAAAAAUUAGCGGAUGACCUGUGGCUGGGGGUGAAAGGCCAAUCAAACCGGGAGAUAGCUGGUUCUCCCCGAAAGCUAUUUAGGUAGCGCCUCGUGAAUUCAUCUCCGGGGGUAGAGCACUGUUUCGGCUAGGGGGCCAUCCCGGCUUACCAACCCGAUGCAAACUGCGAAUACCGGAGAAUGUUAUCACGGGAGACACACGGCGGGUGCUAACGUCCGUCGUGAAGAGGGAAACAACCCAGACCGCCAGCUAAGGUCCCAAAGUCAUGGUUAAGUGGGAAACGAUGUGGGAAGGCCCAGACAGCCAGGAUGUUGGCUUAGAAGCAGCCAUCAUUUAAAGAAAGCGUAAUAGCUCACUGGUCGAGUCGGCCUGCGCGGAAGAUGUAACGGGGCUAAACCAUGCACCGAAGCUGCGGCAGCGACACUGUGUGUUGUUGGGUAGGGGAGCGUUCUGUAAGCCUGUGAAGGUGUGUCGUGAGGCAUGCUGGAGGUAUCAGAAGUGCGAAUGCUGACAUAAGUAACGAUAAAGCGG
RNAcentral lists this ribosomal RNA (612 nucleotides) under Salmonella enterica. Its description in RNAcentral is "partial 23S ribosomal RNA". It matches the Rfam family "Bacterial large subunit ribosomal RNA", at positions 711 to 1320 of the family's 2925-position model. RNAcentral also lists the same sequence under 2 other names. Lineage: Bacteria; Pseudomonadati; Pseudomonadota; Gammaproteobacteria; Enterobacterales; Enterobacteriaceae. The record is from RNAcentral.